This 788-nucleotide ribosomal RNA is filed under the name Psychrobacter sp. 707A5. Its description in RNAcentral is "bacterial SSU rRNA". It matches the Rfam family "Bacterial small subunit ribosomal RNA", at positions 619 to 1407 of the family's 1533-position model. The record is from RNAcentral. Lineage: Bacteria; Pseudomonadati; Pseudomonadota; Gammaproteobacteria; Moraxellales; Moraxellaceae.
AACUGCAUCUGAAACUGUUAGGCUAGAGUAGGUGAGAGGGAAGUAGAAUUUCAGGUGUAGCGGUGAAAUGCGUAGAGAUCUGAAGGAAUACCGAUGGCGAAGGCAGCUUCCUGGCAUCAUACUGACACUGAGGCUCGAAAGCGUGGGUAGCAAACAGGAUUAGAUACCCUGGUAGUCCACGCCGUAAACGAUGUCUACUAGUCGUUGGGUCCCUUGAGGACUUAGUGACGCAGCUAACGCAAUAAGUAGACCGCCUGGGGAGUACGGCCGCAAGGUUAAAACUCAAAUGAAUUGACGGGGGCCCGCACAAGCGGUGGAGCAUGUGGUUUAAUUCGAUGCAACGCGAAGAACCUUACCUGGUCUUGACAUAUCUAGAAUCCUGCAGAGAUGCGGGAGUGCCUUCGGGAAUUAGAAUACAGGUGCUGCAUGGCUGUCGUCAGCUCGUGUCGUGAGAUGUUGGGUUAAGUCCCGCAACGAGCGCAACCCUUGUCCUUAGUUACCAGCGGGUUAAGCCGGGAACUCUAAGGAUACUGCCAGUGACAAACUGGAGGAAGGCGGGGACGACGUCAAGUCAUCAUGGCCCUUACGACCAGGGCUACACACGUGCUACAAUGGUAGGUACAGAGGGCAGCUACACAGCGAUGUGAUGCGAAUCUCAAAAAGCCUAUCGUAGUCCAGAUUGGAGUCUGCAACUCGACUCCAUGAAGUAGGAAUCGCUAGUAAUCGCGGAUCAGAAUGCCGCGGUGAAUACGUUCCCGGGCCUUGUACCACCCCCUUUAAAGGGAGCA